CAUGGGGCAGAAUGGAUUGCCACGCUGCUGUGUGAGCUUCAAAUCCAAGCCUAGGGCUUUUCUCAUGGGUGGCCAGAGACUGCUGCCAGAGAGCUCACUUCGAGGGCCUGCCACAGCUCCCAGGAUCCCGCCUUACAGCUUUGGCCACUUUCCCUAAACUGUUCCAGUUCAAAUCCAGUGUAGAGCCUUCCAUGCUGCAGAUGGACCUGAGGCCUCCCUGUCUUCCAGAAUGGGAAAGAGUUCACAACAAUUAUCCACUUGUUCAAAUGUCUAUACAGUUCUAAAGAACCACGCCUGAUGGAAAGCCCAGAGACAAGGCUACAUUUGCAGCUAGGAGAGACCACGAGACCUAUGCCUGUACAUGGAGAAGCUUACCUGGUAGCAGCUUCGGAAAAGCUCCACAGCAGUGGGGAAAGGAGUGGGUGUUACAUACGACACAGGGUGACUGCAGAACCUUACCUCCUCCUACUGUCAAGAUGAAGAAUUUAGAUUUUCUGGCUGGAGUUUCAGCAGCCAUUUUGGUCUGUGGAGUCAUCUGGGGAA
Long non-coding RNA from Apodemus sylvaticus (European woodmouse), 543 nucleotides. RefSeq lists it as uncharacterized. The transcript is spliced from 4 exons. The record is from RefSeq and is a predicted model, not a curated record. NCBI's taxonomy places the organism in Eukaryota, Metazoa, Chordata, Mammalia, Rodentia, Muridae.